AGAGUUUGAUCCUGGCUCAGGAUGAACGCUGGCGGUAUGCUUAACACAUGCAAGUCGAACGAAAGUCUUCGGAUUUUAGUGGCGGACGGGUGAGUAACGCGUGAGAAUCUGCCUAUAGGUUGGGGACAACAGAUGGAAACGUCUGCUAAUACCCGAUAUGCCGAGAGGUAAAAGCUUUAGUGCCUGUAGAUGAGCUCGCGUCCGAUUAGCUAGUUGGUUAGGUAAAAGCUGACCAAGGCGACGAUCGGUAGCUGGUCUGAGAGGAUGAUCAGUCACACUGGGACUGAGACACGGCCCAGACUCCUACGGGAGGCAGCAGUGGGGAAUUUUCCGCAAUGGGCGAAAGCCUGACGGAGCAAUACCGCGUGCGGGACGAAGGCUUUUGGGUCGUAAACCGCUUUUGUUAGGGAAGAACACAAUGACGGUACCUAACGAAUCAGCAUCGGCUAACUCCGUGCCAGCAGCCGCGGUAAUACGGGGGAUGCAAGCGUUAUCCGGAAUUAUUGGGCGUAAAGCGUCCGCAGGUGGUUUUUCAAGUCUGUUGUCAAAGCGUGGGGCUUAACUCCAUAAAGGCAAUGGAAACUGAGGGACUAGAGUACGGUAGGGGUAGCGGGAAUUCCCAGUGUAGCGGUGAAAUGCGUAGAUAUUGGGAAGAACACCAGCGGCGAAGGCGCGCUACUGGGCCGAAACUGACACUCAUGGAC
This 704-nucleotide ribosomal RNA is filed under the name uncultured bacterium. RNAcentral's name for it is "bacterial SSU rRNA". It matches the Rfam family "Bacterial small subunit ribosomal RNA", at positions 8 to 754 of the family's 1533-position model. The record is from RNAcentral.